RNAcentral lists this ribosomal RNA (618 nucleotides) under uncultured Alphaproteobacteria bacterium. Its description in RNAcentral is "bacterial SSU rRNA". It matches the Rfam family "Bacterial small subunit ribosomal RNA", at positions 28 to 692 of the family's 1533-position model. Lineage: Bacteria; Pseudomonadati; Pseudomonadota; Alphaproteobacteria. The record is from RNAcentral.
AGCGAACGCUGGCGGCAGGCCUAACACAUACAAGUCGAGCGCACCCUUCGGGGCGAGCGGCGGACGGGUUAGCAACGCGUGGGAACAUACCCUUUGGUACGGAAUAGCCUCGGGAAACUGAGAGUAAUACCGUAUGUGCCCUUCGGGGGAAAGAUUUAUCGCCAAAGGAUUGGCCCGCGUUAGAUUAGAUAGUUGGUGGGGUAAUGGCCUACCAAGUCUACGAUCUAUAGCUGGUUUUAGAGGAUGAUCAGCAACACUGGGACUGAGACACGGCCCAGACUCCUACGGGAGGCAGCAGUGGGGAAUCUUAGACAAUGGGCGCAAGCCUGAUCUAACCAUGCCGCGUGUGUGAUGAAGGCCUUAGGGUCGUAAAGCACUUUCGCCAGAGAUGAUAAUGACAGUAUCUGGUAAAGAAACCCCGGCUAACUCCGUGCCAGCAGCCGCGGUAAUACGGAGGGGGUUAGCGUUGUUCGGAAUUACUGGGCGUAAAGCGUACGUAGGCGGAUCAGAAAGUAUGGGGUGAAGUCCCAGGGCUCAACCCUGGCACUGCCUCAUAAACUCCUAAUCUAGAGUUCGAGAGAGGUGAGUGGAAUUCCGAGUGUAGAGGUGAAAUUCGUA